This 576-nucleotide ribosomal RNA is filed under the name uncultured fungus. RNAcentral's name for it is "eukaryotic LSU rRNA". It matches the Rfam family "Eukaryotic large subunit ribosomal RNA", at positions 70 to 632 of the family's 3401-position model. Lineage: Eukaryota; Fungi. The record is from RNAcentral.
AAGGAUUCCCCUAGUAACGGCGAGUGAAGCGGGAAGAGCUCAACUUUGUAAUCUGGCUGUCUUUGGCAGUCCGAGUUGUAGUCUAGAGAAGCGUGAUCCGCGCCGGACCUGAGAUAUGUCUGUUGGAAAGCAGUGUCAUAGAGGGUGACAAUCCCGUUUUUGCUCAGGACGACCGUGUGCAUUGUGGUCCGCUUUCAAAGAGUCGAGUUGUUUGGGAAUGCAGCUCUAAUUAGGUGGUAAAUUCCAUCUAAAGCUAAAUACCGACGAGAGACCGAUAGCGAACAAGUACAGUAAUGGAAAGAUGAAAAGCACAUUGAAAAGUGGUUGAAACAAUACGUGAAACCGUUCAUAGGGAAACGAUGGAGCUUAGACACGCUUGGCAGAGUUCAGCCGUAUGGUGUAUUCUCUGCCUGUUUGCGGGCCAGCAUCAGUUUGCUUCGAGGGAUAAGGGUGCUUGGAAUGUAGCUGUCUCGGCAGUGUUAUAGCCUUGUACUGGAUGCCUUGUCGCAGACUGAGGAACGCAGUGCGCCUUCACGGGCAGUGUUUUUAAACACAGAGCACUUAGGAUGCUGGUAG